UACGAAGGGAGCUAGCGUUAUUCGGAAUAACUGGGCGUAAAGCGCAUGUAGGCGGAUCUACAAGUCAGAGGUGAAAUCCCGGGGCUCAACCCCGGAAUUGCCUUUGAAACUGUAGAUCUUGAGUAUGACAGAGGAUGGUGGAAUUUCCAGUGUAGAGGUGAAAUUCGUAGAUAUUGGAAAGAACACCGGUGGCGAAGGCGACCAUCUGGGUCAUAACUGACGCUGAGAUGCGAAAGCGUGGGGAGCGAACGGG
This 253-nucleotide ribosomal RNA is filed under the name uncultured bacterium. RNAcentral describes it as "partial 16S ribosomal RNA". It matches the Rfam family "Bacterial small subunit ribosomal RNA", at positions 524 to 776 of the family's 1533-position model. The record is from RNAcentral.